This 1184-nucleotide long non-coding RNA is filed under the name Mus musculus (house mouse). Its description in RNAcentral is "long non-coding RNA chr7:63948055-63949239". Lineage: Eukaryota; Metazoa; Chordata; Mammalia; Rodentia; Muridae. The record is from RNAcentral.
AGGUCAGGGAGGUCACAGACUGGGAGGUGAAGAGACCAGAAGCCUGACAGCGAUGGAGAAGUGGCCAAGAAGUCGAAUAGCUCACAACAGGGAAUGAGGGUGGCCUUCUAGUUCCUAAAAGUGGCCCUGGCCCACAGCUGCCUAGAAAAGAGACCUCAGUCCACAACUUCAAACAGCAGAUUCCUACAUAGCCACCUGGGCUAGUACCUCGAUCCGGAAGGAAGCCACCCAGGCAGUUUGGUUUUAGCCUUUGUUGACAAGAGCACAAAGCACAAAACAGUGUCCCUACUGUGAGAGGAAAAUGCAUGGUUCAUCUGAAGACCCUAAGCAAUUCCUUAAGCGGUGGCAAGAAUGCAUACCUACCCUAUGCUGUGUGACUUGUGAGAAUAUUCUGCUAGAAGAAGCAUACACCCUAUGCACACUGCAUGCCCUCAUUUUGGCCAAUGACACACCUGCAUUGCCACCUGCCAACUGAAAACAACUUUUUAAAAUUGCAUUUGUACUGAACAAGUCUAGGCUUCUUUUUUUGUUUAUUUUUUGUUUGUUUGUCUUUUGUUUUUUGUUUUUUGUUUUUUUUUUUUCAAGACAGGGUUUCUCUGUAUAGCCCUGGCUGUCCUGGAACUCACUUUAUAGACCAGGCUGGCUUCGAACUCAGAAAUCCACCUGUCUCUGCCUCCUGAGUGCUGCCACCACACCUGGCUUUCAUCUAGGCUUUCUUAUCAUUACUCCUAAGCAAAACAGCACACCUGAUCAUUACUCAACACUCCCUUGCCCUAGGUGUAAAAAAUCACCUAGAAGCAACACCAAGGACACAACCUUGCCAUCCUUAAAUGGACUUUUUUGUUUGUUUCAUUUUGCUUUUUUUUUUUUUUUUUGAGACAAGGUUUCUCUGUGUAGCCCUGGCUGUCCUGGAACUCAAUUUGUAGACUAGGCUGGCCUCAAACUCAAUUAGAUCCACUGCCUCUGCCUCCCAAGUGCUGGGAUUAAAGGAGUGUGCCAUCAGGCCUGGCCACCUCGGACCUUUUAAUCUACAAGGGGCCCUGAUACAAGUGCCCCAAUAGAGACAGAGGAUGAUUUAUGACUUGAUUCAGGGAAAAGCUAAAAUCAGGAAAGCCCUUUCCACAGUUGCCGUGACCACAGAGUCCAUGUACCUUUGCAAUUAGGUGGGACCCUAGCCCAGCGAG